Molecule: transfer RNA, 76 nt
Filed under: Nocardiopsaceae bacterium
Lineage: Bacteria; Bacillati; Actinomycetota; Actinomycetes; Streptosporangiales; Nocardiopsidaceae
Description: tRNA-Pro
Rfam family: tRNA
About the family: Transfer RNA (tRNA) molecules are approximately 80 nucleotides in length.
Source: RNAcentral
CGGGACGUGGCCUAGCUUGGCUUAAGGCGCCACACUGGGGGUGUGGAGAUCGGGAGUUCGAAUCUCCCCGUCCCGA